This 211-nucleotide ribosomal RNA is filed under the name uncultured bacterium. Its description in RNAcentral is "partial 16S ribosomal RNA". It matches the Rfam family "Bacterial small subunit ribosomal RNA", at positions 1290 to 1500 of the family's 1533-position model. The record is from RNAcentral.
AGUUCGGAUUGUAGUCUGCAACCCGACUACAUGAAGCUGGAAUCGCUAGUAAUCGCGAAUCAGAAUGUCGCGGUGAAUACGUUCCCGGGUCUUGUACACACCGCCCGUCACACCAUGGGAGUCGGAAAUGCCCAAAGUCAGUGACCUAACCGAAAGGGAGGAGCUGCCGAAGGUGGAGCCGGUAACUGGGGUGAAGUCGUAACAAGGUACC